This 495-nucleotide ribosomal RNA is filed under the name Triticum aestivum (bread wheat). RNAcentral's name for it is "partial small subunit ribosomal RNA". The record is from RNAcentral. Lineage: Eukaryota; Viridiplantae; Streptophyta; Magnoliopsida; Poales; Poaceae.
AUGGUCCAGGUGAAUAGACUUAUGCACCAUCUGGAUGGUAAUUUUGUGGAGAGUAUUUGCGCUCCGAGUUUGGGGUUGUUGCCAAAAAUUCAGUUGGCGACCUCCUUACCUCCUCUUGAGAUUAUAUUGAUAAAGCAGAGCUUCAAAUGUGUCUCGCUGGUUUGUAUAUCGAUAUCACUCUUCAUAGGUCUGUUUAUUUUGGAAAUUGAUUGCUCUUUUGUGGUUUCUUUCCUAGCACAUGAUACCCUUAAUAGGUUGUCCCUCGUUGAUUUGAAGAAGAAGGCUUUAGUCGUCACAAAGCCACUUCCAAAUUUUAAGCCGGCAAAGAUAAACAAGCAGGCCAAUGUGGUGGCACACGAGAUAGCUAAGUUUAGAUUUGUUAAUAGAUCGAAUGGUUUUUGUGUUGAGGUGCGAGAAUCAACUUUUGACCAUGGGGUAUCCAUGGUAGCGUGGUCAGAAAUUAGCGAGGGUGUGUACGACUCGUCGUACACUUAA